GCCCAACUUUUCUUCGUUUUUAUUACAAAAAAAUUCGCAGGGCUUUAUUCUCAUAAAUCAACUGUCUUGUAAAAUUCGUAGUAAAUUCAAUUCCUAUCGGAUUUCGACGAUUCUUGAUGUUUCGGAAAGUUCUUUCAAUCUCCUACAACUUUCGUUCACAAUAUUUUCGUAGAUCCUGUUUCGAACUAUUCUCAAAAUUACAAAACUUAUCCAGAUCCUGUUCAUUCUUUGGAUUCUGAAUCAGCAGAUAUUUUAUUUAAUUCCCGACUCGUUAUAACUCCGAUUUUUAUGAGCCAUACCUUUUCAGAAAGGUCUUUUCAUUCUCUAUGACUUUUGUGUUUUGAGUUUUUCCAUAAAACAUCGUUUAGAAGGUCAAAACAGUUGAUUCUUGGUCUGGGCAGAUUGGAAUCAUGAAGAUAUUUGGAGUUUAAGAUCAAGUCGGGGUUCAGGAGUUUAG
This 457-nucleotide long non-coding RNA is filed under the name Daucus carota (carrot). RNAcentral's name for it is "long non-coding RNA (DCAR_LNC000707)". Lineage: Eukaryota; Viridiplantae; Streptophyta; Magnoliopsida; Apiales; Apiaceae. The record is from RNAcentral.